GACGAACCGUGCAAAUGUUGUUCGGAAUCACUGGGCUUAAAGGGCGCGUAGGCGGUCGGCAAAGUCAGCGGUGAAAGCCUCCGGCUUAACCGGAGAAGUGCCGUUGAUACUGGUCGACUCGAGGGAGGUAGGGGCAGAUGGAACUUCCAGUGGAGCGGUGAAAUGUGUUGAUAUUGGAAGGAACGCCGGUGGCGAAAGCGAUCUGCUGGCCCUCUUCUGACGCUGAGGCGCGAAAGCCAGGGUAGCGAACGGG
Molecule: unclassified non-coding RNA, 253 nt
Filed under: uncultured Planctomycetia bacterium
Lineage: Bacteria; Pseudomonadati; Planctomycetota; Planctomycetia
Description: contains 16S-23S intergenic spacer region
Rfam family: Bacterial small subunit ribosomal RNA
Source: RNAcentral